Helianthus annuus (common sunflower) is the source of this 2394-nucleotide long non-coding RNA. RefSeq lists it as uncharacterized. The transcript is spliced from 5 exons. NCBI's taxonomy places the organism in Eukaryota, Viridiplantae, Streptophyta, Magnoliopsida, Asterales, Asteraceae. The record is from RefSeq and is a predicted model, not a curated record.
UUCUCAACCUCCUCCAUGAUCCCAAACCCACUUUCUCCAUUAUCCUUUAUCCUCCUAUUUAUUUGCUCAACUGCUUCCCCAUAUCGUGGCUGGUAUCUGCGGUUUAUCACGGUUACAAAAUUGAAUGGUUAUCCUCUUCCUAUAUAUCACUUGCUGAAUCUCCUGUAGCCGAAUCUCAUAUAUGUUCUUUUAGGGUUUGACGUCUCAAGAGGUUAAGUUGGAUGCCUUCAACAUGUCCAAUUGGAAUCAUGGAGGAGCCUCAUCAGCCUCCCAAAUACUUGAUGAACGGAACUUCUCAUUAAGCAUUCAGGUUUCAACUCCAUUCUUUUCGUGAUAUUAAGCCAGCCAUCAGUUCUAAAAUUGAUCACGAUUUAGAGUUUCUAAAGGAGGUCAGGAAUUAAAUCUGAGUUAUGUCACGAGAAUCAUGGUAAGUUUUAUUUAUAUCCAUUCAACACACACAUACUAACUACUCAUGUUCAUCUUAUUCUUUUCUCUAUCAUGAAGUUAAAUUCUUUUAAGACUCCGUUAACUAAGUUGUAUGAUUAUGGGUUUUGUAAUGGCAUACAUUAUUUACAGUUUUCAGCUUUCUUUACCUUGCCCACCAGAUGUUUGAUAAAUUCCCUCAAUGAGAGUUUUGUUGAGGAAUUCACUGACGUUCCAUAAAUCACACACAGUGUUUGCUAGCUUCGGUUCCUUGACCAUCUAAAAAAGCUUCAAAGAAGAACGUGGAAUAUUUGGGUUGUUUUCGGGAUCCACUAGAUAUAAUUACUUAAUGGUUAUAACAAAAUACUGAAACAUCGCGUUAUCCUAAUCAUCAGGUACUGUUUGCAGUAGGUUUAUUCUGAUUUAGUAGUAACAUUUUUAAACUUUUUUAAUUAUCUUUUGUUUUUAUUUAUUUAUUUUAUUUAUGAAUGGUGAAUAGGUUGUAUGCUUUCAUGCAAUGGAGAAACAAAAAGAGGUUAUGUUCUCUCUAGAACUGUAAGUUUUUUUGGGUCUCCAAGCCGGUGCUUAAUGUUUCAGCUCAAAUUUCAUGGUUUCCGGAUUACUCAAUCCGUCGUCAAAAAACCAAGCCGAGGGGUGACCGGGUCGUGUACACUUGCCGAGUUGAUGUCGAAUCUGCAAAGUGUGUUGCUUCAUGCUGAGUUAUGAGGCAUUUGUUUUGCGAGUGUUGAAUUUUGCUAUAUAUUAGCGGUUACAUGUUUCAUACAGAAAAUGGUUCACGUUUGCUAAGUAAUUAUCUGACAACAGGUUUUAUACCAUUGUUAGGAAGGUAGGUACUCUUCACAUGAAUGAGUUAUAAAAUAACUUAUUUUUUAAUGGUUUGGUUUAGGCCAAAAAAGGUGGGUACUUUUCAAAUGAUCGUCCAUUUUCUGUUUCGGGAGUGAAAGCAUUAGUUGAAGCUUGGAACAUGAAGGGAGUCUUUGCUGAGGAAACAAAUUAAGAAAGAAGCUGUGUUAUAUCCCACCCUUAUGCUUUCUCUUAUCGCAGUUGGAGAUGGCACUUUCUUUUUGGGCCUUAUUGGUUCCAGUUCUUAAUGGUUUUUACUGAUCAUAUAAAAAUCUAAUAAUAAUAAUAAUGUGUGGUACUAUAUGAUCUUUUUUGUGGUCAUACAAAUUUUUUGUUCUUUAUCUUUUCUUACAAUAGUUUGGCCUAACUUUUUCUUUAUUUCCUUUUCCUUUUUGGGAAUUAGGUAGGUUACCACAUCAUAAUGUGUAGUGUAAUAACUUGGUACUUGAAAGUAUGUAUCUUUAAUCACUGAUAUGGUGCAGACAUGCAAUUUGUGAUUACCAUGUUAUCUACUUAUCUCUAAGCAUCAUGUGUGUCUUUGUACCUGGUGAAAAUCUUGGCUUUCAACCGCUACAUGUGUAGUAUUAUGUUUAUUUGAUGCUAUUUUUCUUCUCUUAUGGAAAUCUAACUAACACUUUUCAUUAUUCCCUUUGUUAUUCCAGAGCGCAGAUACAUGUUGGUUCAAGAAAUUUAAACUUGCUCAGCAGCAGAAGUCACACUGUUACUCCAUCAAGCAAUUAUACAUUAAAAUUUGCCUACCAUUGCAAAACACAUUGAAAUCUAGGCUGCUCAAAGCAAGGCAUUCUCAUUAAUUUUGUCUGCACUAAAUACAUAAUAGUAAGUGUUCCCAAACAAUCAAUGGAAAUAAUCUUAUGUUUUUUGUAGAUUAUUUUUUAUAUAUAUUAAAGAAUGGUGCUUUUGUUUGUAAUAUUGUUUAGAUUUGUGUGCACUUAUUGUGGGUGUUUGGGAUUGCUUAUUUUGAGCUCCUUUUAACUUUUCGACUUUUUCGAAACGGAGAAAAGGAUAUGAAAAAGGAGAAAAGAAGAAAAGGCGAAGCAAUCCCAAACAGCCUCAAUAUAGAUUAUGUUUUUUUGUCACGUUGUUUGC